GCCUGACUGGCUCAGUGGGUAGAGCAUGCAACUCUUGAUCUCAGGGUUGUGAGUUCAAGCUCCAUGUUGGGUG
RNAcentral lists this transfer RNA (73 nucleotides) under Canis lupus familiaris (dog). It matches the Rfam family "tRNA". From Rfam's summary of the family: Transfer RNA (tRNA) molecules are approximately 80 nucleotides in length. Their secondary structure includes four short double-helical elements and three loops (D, anti-codon, and T loops). Lineage: Eukaryota; Metazoa; Chordata; Mammalia; Carnivora; Canidae. RNAcentral also lists the same sequence under 2 other names. The record is from Rfam by way of RNAcentral.